CCUACGGGUGGCAGCAGUGGGGGAUAUUGCACAAUGGGGGAAACCCUGAUGCAGCGACGUCGCGUGGGUGAAGAAGCGCCUCGGCGCGUAAAGCCCUGUCAGCAGGGAAGAAAAUGACGGUACCUGAAGAAGAAGCCACGGCUAACUACGUGACAGCAGCCGCGGUAAUACGUAGGGGGCAAGCGUUAUACGGAUUUACUGGGUGUAAAGGGGGCGCAGACGGCGAUGCAAGCCAGGAGUGAAAGCCCGGGGCCCAACCCCGGGACUGCUCUUGGAACUGCGUGGCUAGAGUGCAGUCGGGGCAGGCGGAAUUCCUGGUGUAGCGGUGAAAUGCGUAGAUAUCAGGAGGAACACCGGUUGCGAAGGCGGCCUGCUGGACUGCAACUGACGUUGAGGCCCGAAAGCGUGGGGAGCAAACAGGAUUAGAUACCCUAGUAGUC
Molecule: ribosomal RNA, 440 nt
Filed under: uncultured bacterium
Lineage: Bacteria
Description: partial 16S ribosomal RNA
Rfam family: Bacterial small subunit ribosomal RNA
Source: RNAcentral